CGAGAUAGUAAAUUUAUGCGUUGACAUUAGGUCUUCCACCGUAUCAAAAUGAACCUUGAUCAAAAUGAACCUUGAUCAAUACUCAUGGAUGUAGAAUUAUAUUGAAUUGGAUCGUUGCAUCGGACAAAAAGAGCCGAGAAAGAUCUUGAGAGGUCAUCAGCAUCGGACAAAAAUGAACCUUGAUCAAAAUUCUGUGAAUAAGAAUGAGGAUCAUAUGAAAACCGCAUUGAUGAGUUAGAGCAAUCGAAAAUAUAUUUCCUCUGUUUCUUUAUCUUCCUCCAUAGCUGUCUCCAGGUUGGUGUUUUGCUUGAUGAUCGGCUCACCGGCAAAUUAUAGGAUAC
Molecule: long non-coding RNA, 341 nt
Filed under: Nicotiana benthamiana
Lineage: Eukaryota; Viridiplantae; Streptophyta; Magnoliopsida; Solanales; Solanaceae
Description: long non-coding RNA (NBEN_LNC028771)
Source: RNAcentral